UACGUAGGUGGCAAGCGUUGUCCGGAUUUAUUGGGUUUAAAGCGUGCGCAGGCGGUUUUGUAAGUCUGUCGUGAAAGCCCCGGGCUUAACCUGGGAACUGCAUUUGUGACUGCAUAGCUAGAGUACGGUAGAGGGGGAUGGAAUUCCGCGUGUAGCAGUGAAAUGCGUAGAUAUGCGGAGGAACACCGAUGGCGAAGGCAGCCCCCUGGGUCAAGAUUGACGCUCAUGCACGAAAGCGUGGGGAGCAAACAGG
RNAcentral lists this ribosomal RNA (253 nucleotides) under uncultured bacterium. RNAcentral's name for it is "partial 16S ribosomal RNA". It matches the Rfam family "Bacterial small subunit ribosomal RNA", at positions 524 to 776 of the family's 1533-position model. The record is from RNAcentral.